Molecule: long non-coding RNA, 240 nt
Filed under: Prunus dulcis (almond)
Lineage: Eukaryota; Viridiplantae; Streptophyta; Magnoliopsida; Rosales; Rosaceae
Description: sRNA ncRNA
Source: RNAcentral
UCCCCUUACAUUUUUCUUGCCAAUGAUAUACAUACCCUAUGAACUUGGAGACAUUCUUGACACUGAAAGUAGCUGAGGCAUGCAUCAUUUUGCAAACACAAUGAUGAGAUUGAGAUACGAUGCACAUUUCACAUUUUCCACCUUAUUAUAAUGCAAUUUUAAAUUAUAGAUACAAAAUUCUUUACUGAUAAUGAUAACCACCCCAACCUAAGGACGGCUCGGUAUAAAUUAAUACAACUU